RNAcentral lists this ribosomal RNA (478 nucleotides) under uncultured bacterium. RNAcentral's name for it is "partial 16S ribosomal RNA". It matches the Rfam family "Bacterial small subunit ribosomal RNA", at positions 28 to 523 of the family's 1533-position model. The record is from RNAcentral.
GACGAACGCUGGCGGCGUGCUUAACGCAUGCAAGUCGAACGGUAAGGCCCUUCGGGGUACACGAGUGGCGAACGGGUGAGUAACACGUGGGUGAUCUGCCCUGCACUUCGGGAUAAGCCUGGGAAACUGGGUCUAAUACCGGAUAGGACCACUGCCUGCAUGGGUGGUGGGGGAAAGCUUUUGCGGUGUGGGAUGGGCCCGCGGGCUAUCGGCUUGUUGGUGGGGUGAUGGCCUACCAAGGCGAAGACGGGUAGCCGGACUGAGAGGGUGACCGGCCGCACUGGGACUGAGAUACGGCCCAGACUCCUACGGGAGGCAGCAGUGGGGAAUAUUGCACAAUGGGCGCAAGCCUGAUGCAGCGACGCCGCGUGAGGGAUGACGGCCUUCGGGUUGUAAACCUCUUUCAGCACCGACGAAGCGCAAGUGACGGUAGGUGCAGAAGAAGGACCGGCCAACUACGUGCCAGCCGCCGCCGUAA